This 76-nucleotide small RNA is filed under the name Erwinia sp. Leaf53. Its description in RNAcentral is "Pseudomonas sRNA P26". It matches the Rfam family "Pseudomonas sRNA P26". From Rfam's summary of the family: P26 is conserved across many Gammaproteobacteria species and appears to be consistently located between the DNA directed RNA polymerase (beta subunit) and 50S ribosomal protein L7/L12 genes. Lineage: Bacteria; Pseudomonadati; Pseudomonadota; Gammaproteobacteria; Enterobacterales; Erwiniaceae. The record is from Rfam by way of RNAcentral.
ACCUUCCAGGUUGCAGCUUGAGUCUGACAUUACGUUAGCUCAGGCUGAUGGCUGGUGACUUUUUGGUCACCAGCCU